Molecule: non-coding RNA, 573 nt
Organism: Artibeus jamaicensis (Jamaican fruit-eating bat)
Lineage: Eukaryota; Metazoa; Chordata; Mammalia; Chiroptera; Phyllostomidae
Source: the annotation of a RefSeq genome assembly
CCAUGGCCUGGGCUCCUCUCCUCCUCGUGAUCCUCUCUCACUGCACAGGUAGGGACAGGCACGGGGACCCUGCUCAUCCUUUUGUAUCUCUCCUCUCUUGCUCAGAAUUCGUAGAAUGGUACAGUUUCUUGACCAAGUAUUCAGUAUGUCUUUGUCUGCAGGUUCCCUCUCCCAGCCUGUGCUGACUCAGCCGCCCUCCCUCUCGGUGUCUCCUGGAGCCACAGCCAGACUCACCUGCACCCUCAGCAGUGGCAUCAGUGUUGGUGGCUACUACAUAAAGUGGUUCCAGCAGAAGCCAGGGAGCCCUCCCCGGUAUCUGCUGGAGUAUAAAUCAGACUCAGAGAAGCACCAGGCCUCUGGGGUCCCCAGCCGCUUCUCUGGAUCCAAGGAUGCAUCGGCCAAUGCAGGGCUCCUGACCAUCUCUGGACUGCAGCCUGAGGACGAGGCCGACUAUUACUGUAAUAUGUGGCACGAAAACAGUAAAACUUACACGGUGCUGCAGAGUCACGGGGAAGUGAGACUAAAGCCCUCCUGUGCUCUUUCUGCCUGUGGCUGUCACCCCUGAUCUGCCUG